UGGACCUAGCGGCGGACGGGUGAGUAAUGCUUAGGAAUCUGCCUAUUAGUGGGGGACAACAUCUCGAAAGGGAUGCUAAUACCGCAUACGUCCUACGGGAGAAAGCAGGGGAUCUUCGGACCUUGCGCUAAUAGAUGAGCCUAAGUCGGAUUAGCUAGUUGGUGGGGUAAAGGCCUACCAAGGCGACGAUCUGUAGCGGGUCUGAGAGGAUGAUCCGCCACACUGGGACUGAGACACGGCCCAGACGCCUACGGGAGGCAGCAGUAGGGAAUCUUCCACAAUGGGCGAAAGCCUGAUGGAGCAACGCCGCGUGAGUGAAGAAGGUUUUCGGAUCGUAAAACUCUGUUGUAAGGGAAGAACAAGUGCGUUAGGUAAUGAACGCACCUUGACGGUACCUUAUCAGAAAGCCACGGCUAACUACGUGCCAGCAGCCGCGGUAAU
This 441-nucleotide ribosomal RNA is filed under the name Pseudomonas aeruginosa. RNAcentral's name for it is "bacterial SSU rRNA". It matches the Rfam family "Bacterial small subunit ribosomal RNA", at positions 87 to 524 of the family's 1533-position model. The record is from RNAcentral. Lineage: Bacteria; Pseudomonadati; Pseudomonadota; Gammaproteobacteria; Pseudomonadales; Pseudomonadaceae.